GAUGAACGCUGGCGGCGUGCCUAAUACAUGCAAGUUGAGCGCAGAGAUUAGGUACUUGUUCCUACUGCGUGAGCGGCGGACGGGUGAGUAACGCGUGGGUAAUCUGCCUUUAAGCGGGGGACAACAUCGGGAAACGGGUGCUAAUACCGCAUAAUAUCUUUAAACACAAGGUUCAAGAGUGAAAGAUGCAAUUGCAUCACUUAAUGGUGGUCCCGCGUUGUAUUAGCUAAGUUGGGAGGUAAAGGCCCACCAAAGCGAUGAUAGAGAGGCGACCUGGGAGGGUGGUUCGCCAACUCGGGACCGAGACACGGGUCAAACUUCCUACGGGAGCAGCCGUAGGGGAACUUUCGCCAUGGGCCGAAGUCUUAACGGGCAACGCCGCGUGAGUGAAGGAGGUUCUUCGAUCGUAAAAACCUUGUUGUAGGGGAGAACGAAGGGUGUAGUGGAAUAUGCACCUAUUGACGGUACCUACUCAGAAAGCCACGGCUAACUACGUG
This 497-nucleotide ribosomal RNA is filed under the name uncultured bacterium. RNAcentral's name for it is "partial 16S ribosomal RNA". It matches the Rfam family "Bacterial small subunit ribosomal RNA", at positions 28 to 507 of the family's 1533-position model. The record is from RNAcentral.